This 253-nucleotide ribosomal RNA is filed under the name uncultured bacterium. Its description in RNAcentral is "partial 16S ribosomal RNA". It matches the Rfam family "Bacterial small subunit ribosomal RNA", at positions 524 to 776 of the family's 1533-position model. The record is from RNAcentral.
GACGUAGGGCGCGAGCGUUGUCCGGAUUUAUUGGGCGUAAAGGGCGCGUAGGCGGCCAGAUUAGUCAGGCGUGAAAGCCCUGGGCUCAACCUGGGGACUGCGCUUGAGACGGUAUGGCUUGAGGGUGGAAGAGGCUCGCGGAAUUCCCAGUGUAGAGGUGAAAUUCGUAGAUAUUGGGAAGAACACCGGUGGCGAAGGCGGCGAGCUGGUCCAUCACUGACGCUGAGGCGCGACAGCGUGGGGAGCAAACAGG